AUGAACAAGAAUCUGGGUAAGAGAACUGCUGAAGCUGGUGCAAAGGAUCCUCAGCGCAAGCGACUACAUGUCAGGAUGUUCAUACUGGUAGACGCAACGACUGUGGUUCAUCCAAGAGUGUACCCAAGCGUGCCCUUUGAUCAUGGCGAUGAAAGUGUUGGUGCUGAAUCUGGUGGGGAGGCGGAUGUUGUUCCAAAGAGGAAGAAGUCUAGUAAUAGCAAUGCAACUGAAGAUGAUGUCGAGGGAGAUGAUUCUCGAUUUAACAAGACCGUACAUUUGUCGCUUCCCACUAUUUGCAAAUUUGUUGUUUCAUUGAAAGAUGCACACUAUAAUCGUGUUCUAGAUGCUGGAUUUGGUGUUGUGUUUGAACUGACAGUAAAGAAAAAUGUGUUGUGCAUUCUUAUGUGCUAUCUGAUGGGGGUAAUUGACCCUGCCACGAUGAUAAUGGACAUUGGGAAUGGCAGGGUUCUUCAAAUCAAUCAUGAUGCAGUUCAUCACAUUUUUGAUUUACCUAUGGGACGUCACACUACACCCAUGCCUGCUGCCAGCGGACAUGAUGACUCAUUGACUGCCCUCAAGGAUGAGCUUGGCUUUGACUGUUCAAAAAGUAUAGGGGUCAAGGACUUGCUUGAGAAGCUGAAGGUGUUGGUGGAGGAAGAUGAUCAUGUGACUAUUGAUCUUCCUGUCAAGGUGUUCUUCCUGAUACUUUGUCAGAAUUUGAUGUGCUUCGGGCCUGCAGUUUGUUUGGGUAGGGUUGCUGCAAUGGCAAAGAACAUGGAUUAUGCGGCUAUGGCGAAGAUGGACUUUUGUCAGCUUGUUGUUGAUGAGUUGCAAGCAGCUGUGGUGAGGUGGCAGAAUUGUGCAGAGGGUUGUGCCAUUGUCCCCCUGAUUAUGUAUCUUCAUUGUUUGAAGCUUCGAAAUUUUUUAGUUAUGCACACGUUGACGCCACGUGCUUCAUACCCGACGACCAAGACUUGA
Molecule: ribosomal RNA, 978 nt
Filed under: Triticum aestivum (bread wheat)
Lineage: Eukaryota; Viridiplantae; Streptophyta; Magnoliopsida; Poales; Poaceae
Description: partial small subunit ribosomal RNA
Source: RNAcentral